CACACACACACACACACACACACACACACACAGCUCCCAGGCACUCACGAAGGGCAAUGGUUUCUGUACAUGCAGUAGGUGAUGUGCCUGGAGCAGGUGUUGCUCACAGCUAAGGAGCCCAGCAGAAUUUUGUGUGGCUCGGGGCUUGGAUUUCAGCCUUCAUAUCUUCUCCAGAUUUGUGUUCAGUCUGCACCUUCUACAUGACAUGGUGGAGUAUGCAUUACAUAAAGCCCCCAGGUUAGAGACAGGACCCCUAGGGCCAGGAGGGGGUAAGUACAGCGCUGACCAGGACUGGAGGCCACAUCACCCUUGCCCCAACACUCGUGAAUUUGACGUGGUCAUCCCACCUGCCAGCAGAGCGUGAACGGGGCCUCCCCACAAGGAAGCCUGGAAGUCCCUGUGAGUCCAUAAGGGCUGCAUGGCUCCUGACUUCAACCAGUCAGCCUCUCGUCCAGAAGGGGAGGCCCGGGGCGGGGGGCAUGCUGCUUGCCUGCCCAGUGGGCUUACUCUGUGGGCUCUCGCUUUCUCCUGAAAGUGCAGCAAAAUGUUACAGUAAUCGAGAUAAGGCAGAUUUAUUAACCAGUCUUUCCCAGCACAAUCUCAGGUCACCCAAGAUGCAGUUUCAGAUGGAGGUUUACAACAGUGAGCCUGGGUGGAGAGUACGACUCCUUCUGGCCAUCCCGUGACACCCUGUGUUAGCGUUUGUCCCCCUUUCCCCUGCUGCUUCUGGAGUACCUAGGAGCCACACUGCUGUCCCAGAUCGAGACUCCAGGACAGGACCUGGCACAAAGCCCUGAGUCUGACCUCACAGGAGAGAUCGGACAGGCAAGGGGGCACACUUGGGCAGCAAAGGGAGACCCCACCCUUCCCUGGCUGCAGGGCUGAGUAUUUGGGGUGUGAGUGGAGGAAUGCCAGGCAGGUUCAGUCCUUCGGUCUAGGCGUGUGGGGCCCUCCAGGUGCCUGCUCUUUGUGGCAGGCUGUUACAGCAGGGCUGUGGAUUUGUCCCGGCUCUAUAGAAAAGGGACCCACAGGGUCCCCCAGGCAGCUGCCCUACCCUGGGAGUGCAGCUUGGGCAGGCCACAGACCAGCAGCUUCCCUGGGCUCUUCUGCCCCAGAAGCAACAGCGGGUUUGGUGCAGACCAGCACCAGGUGCCACACGGGGCGAUCACACCACGGGAUUCCUGGCUUUGCCUCUUUAGUGGGUGCCUUGUGAUCUCUGAGUCAUGGUGAGGAGGAUUCCAGGGACAGACGGCCAGGGACGUUCCCAUGUGGAGGAGACUCCACUGGCAGAGAAGCAGCGUCAAGCUGGACAUUGGGGUGCGCUGGCUGGCCAGGACAGCGCUUGUCCCCCUGUCCACACAUGGAACACUGGACUUCCCUCUGCGGCCCAGCCAGCGGUCUCAUCUUGCAGCCGCAGCUUUCAGCAGGAAGGAGCUCGCUGGUGCCUGCCUGACCUACCAGGGCCCACACCGUUUUGCCCUCCUAACAUUUUGUAUUUUAAGUGCUUAUCACAGUCCACAAAAUAACCACUCAGAAUCUGUUACUAUUUUGUUUAUACAUUGUAUCAAGUGAAUGUUAACAAGUCAUCUAAGUGUAUGCUUUAGUUAUAAAUCUUGGAAAAAUAAAAACUUCCUUUUGGAGGAAAAGUUAACUCACUUUGGUAUGAAAAUCACACAACUCCAGGUUGGAUUUUUUUGUGCUUUAAUGUUCGCAGUCACACAAAAGUGGUAUCUCCAUCAGCACUGGGGCGGCCACCUCCUCCUCAUCAGCCCGACAGCUGCACGGUCCCGCCUCUCACCCAUUUGGUCUGUUUGCAAGUUACUAGAUCAUACAAAAAUAACCGCUACAAAUUCUCUGUAUCUGGCAUAUAAAAACUGAGCAAAAAGUAUCUCUUAAAGCAAAACAUCUCAGAAAAAAUACAACACAGGUUUAACUUCUGCAGUACUUUGUUCAUAUAAAACACUAGUAAAAUAGGCUUCUUAAAAAUUAAAUAGUGAAAUACCAACCAAAUUAUAUACAUUGUUACAGUACAAGUGAAUGAGGCAAAAUAUCCAGUUCUUAGUUUCCCAGGUGGAGGGGGGGCUGUCAGUGCGUGGCACGGAGGGGUGACAGGAAGGCCAUGUUCUGAUGUCACAGUCAGUGCAGAAACAGGCUUGCAGCGGGACAAACAGAUGGAAAGAACUGAGUCACGCAGGGAAGACCAGUGGCUCCUUUGAGGAAGAGUGAGGUCAUGUUUUUAUUGCUUGCUAAUCCGAGGUUUUCCCCUGGCCUGAUGCCCCUAUAGGUAGCCUGGAUCCCAAACGCUGCAGCCCAUGUAGAGCUAAUCCAUGUCACCAAGCAGCCCUGGGGAAGCCACAGCUGCUCCAGAGAAGACAGAACGAGGCUUCAGAGCCCUCAACAUCUGAGCUGGAUUGAUCCUGGUCUUUCAGGUCCAUCAGGGUCCCACAUGGUCCAGCUGACACACGUUUCCCCGCUGACGGCCACGUUCACCUGAGAGCCUGAGGGUGGGCAGUGUGGGCUCCCGGCACUGGGGUGAUACCACUGUGGCCUGGGCGGUGGCACUCAGACCCAGCCGACCCCGUCAGUGACCACAGCUCUUCACCCGCUUCUCUGCUGCCGCCAGGACUGAGGGGUCUAUGUGCGGCGCCGCUUGGCAGCGCUGGGACUGGAGGGGUUGCUGUUCGCGGUCAGGACUUUGUCGGUGACCCGGCUGCGCUUCCGCUUGUCUGCGCCUUCUUUGCACCCCAAGUCUGAGGAGUUCUUCUC
Non-coding RNA from Macaca mulatta (Rhesus monkey), 2766 nucleotides. The record is from RefSeq and is a predicted model, not a curated record. NCBI's taxonomy places the organism in Eukaryota, Metazoa, Chordata, Mammalia, Primates, Cercopithecidae.